AGAACCUGAAACCGUGUGCUUACAAGUAGUCAGAGCCCGUUAAUGGGUGAUGGCGUGCCUUUUGUAGAAUGAACCGGCGAGUUACGAUUUGAUGCAAGGUUAAGCAGUAAAUGUGGAGCCGUAGCGAAAGCGAGUCUGAAUAGGGCGUUUAGUAUUUGGUCGUAGACCCGAAACCAGGUGAUCUACCCUUGGUCAGGUUGAAGUUCAGGUAACACUGAAUGGAGGACCGAACCGACUUACGUUGAAAAGUGAGCGGAUGAACUGAGGGUAGCGGAGAAAUUCCAAUCGAACCUGGAGAUAGCUGGUUCUCUCCGAAAUAGCUUUAGGGCUAGCCUCAAGUGAUGAUUAUUGGAGGUAGAGCACUGUUUGGACGAGGGGCCCCUCUCGGGUUACCGAAUUCAGACAAACUCCGAAUGCCAAUUAAUUUAACUUGGGAGUCAGAACAUGGGUGAUAAGGUCCGUGUUCGAAAGGGAAACAGCCCAGACCACCAGCUAAGGUCCCAAAAUAUAUGUUAAGUGGAAAAGGAUGUGGCGUUGCCCAGACAACUAGGAUGUUGGCUUAGAAGCAGCCAUCAUUUAAAGAGUGCGUAAUAGCUCACUAGUCGAGUGACACUGCGCCGAAAAUGUACCGGGGCUAAACAUAUUACCGAAGCUGUGGAUUGUCCUUUGGACAAUGGUAGGAGAGCGUUCUAAGGGCGUUGAAGCAUGAUCGCAAGGACAUGUGGAGCGCUUAGAAGUGAGAAUGCCGGUGUGAGUAGCGAAAGACGGGUGAGAAUCCCGUCCACCGAUUGACUAAGGUUUCCAGAGGAAGGCUCGUCCGCUCUGGGUUAGUCGGGUCCUAAGCUGAGGCCGACAGGCGUAGGCGAUGGAUAACAGGUUGAUAUUCCUGUACCACCUAUAAUCGUUUUAAUCGAUGGGGGGACGCAGUAGGAUAGGCGAAGCGUGCGAUUGGAUUGCACGUCUAAGCAGUAAGGCUGAGUAUUAGGCAAAUCCGGUACUCGUUAAGGCUGAGCUGUGAUGGGGAGAAGACAUUGUGUCUUCG
Molecule: ribosomal RNA, 1042 nt
Filed under: Staphylococcus aureus
Lineage: Bacteria; Bacillati; Bacillota; Bacilli; Caryophanales; Staphylococcaceae
Also listed under: 1 other name
Description: partial 23S ribosomal RNA
Rfam family: Bacterial large subunit ribosomal RNA
Source: RNAcentral